AGCGAAUAGAUACCCGGGUAGUCCACGCCGUAAACGAUGGGCACUAGGUGUCGGGGGUAUCCACUCCCUCGGUGCCGCCGCUAAACGCAUUAAGUGCCCCGCCUGGGAAGUACGGUCGCAAGAUUAAAACUCAAAGGAAUUGACGGGGGCCCGGCACAAGCGGUGGAGCAUGUGGUUCAAUUCGAUGCAACGCGAAGAACCUUACCUGGGUUUGACAUCUGGCGAAUGUUGGUGAAAGCCGACAGUGCCCGCAAGGGAGCGCCAAGACAGGUGCUGCAUGGCUGUCGUCAGCUCGUGCCGUGAGGUGUUAGGUUAAGUCCUGCAACGAGCGCAACCCCGUAUCCGUAGUUGCCCCCGGGGUUGAGGCCGUGGCACUCUACGGAGACUGCCCGUGUUAAGCGGGAGGAAGGU
RNAcentral lists this ribosomal RNA (411 nucleotides) under uncultured bacterium. Its description in RNAcentral is "bacterial SSU rRNA". It matches the Rfam family "Bacterial small subunit ribosomal RNA", at positions 771 to 1174 of the family's 1533-position model. The record is from RNAcentral.